RNAcentral lists this long non-coding RNA (1240 nucleotides) under Helianthus annuus (common sunflower). RNAcentral describes it as "hypothetical non coding rna". The record is from RNAcentral. Lineage: Eukaryota; Viridiplantae; Streptophyta; Magnoliopsida; Asterales; Asteraceae.
AUGCGCCACCACCAGCAACGCAACCAACGCGAACUAAGUAUCCCUUCUAUCUCUAAUAGUUUUAUGACAUGAUUCUGAACCGGAAGUUAAGAACCAGAGAGCAGUGCUUGUAGAAGAAAAUGAAGGGCCACGACAUGAGAGGUCUUUUUCGGUAAUCUUUACUGAAAUCUAUUUGAAUAUUUAAGAUUCCAUGUAUGAAGAAAGUUAAAUUCUAUAACUGAUGGAAUAGGAUUUAUAAUCAUUUUAAUUACUAAAGUUGGUUUUGGAUGGAACUAAUUCCAUUUCUGAAUUUCUAAUUCUAGUUGCAGGGAAUUGGAGUGAUAUGCCAUUCAUUAAGAUGCCCUAUUUUUUUGAGGUACAUUAGCUUAUAUAGUUUUGAAAUUAUCCAAAAUUAGUGAUCUUUAGUUAUUUAAUUCUCAUUGAUAUUCAUAUUGAAUAUACGAAAAUACUGAGUUGUGCUAUCAUGGAGAUGGUAAUCUCUAGAAUAUUAAUUUCAUGAUUAUAUAACAGGUUAGCAUAUCACCUUAGGGUAGGGAUGGUAUUAAUGGGAUAUUUUUACACCUUAGGGUAGGGAUGGUAUCGGUUACUGUAUCGUACCCCUUAGUACCAAAACUGAAUAUGUAUAAAUCUUAACACCGAAUACCAUAUCCUAUAAGCACAUUCUGGAAUGGUAUGGUACCGGUAUUGGUAAUAGUAUUUUGGUAUUGUCCAUGUUAGGACCGCAUCUAGAUUUUACUAAGGACAUUCAACAAAUGAAACAAAAAGUCAAACAUAUUCAAGUUGGUGUGUCAUUUUUCUAGAUCUUGCUGAUGGUUAUUACCCAGGAUUCUGUGGAACAACUAGCGGAGAAGAUUGGAGACUGAAAGCUUAACAGGUACAGAGUAAAAAAGUUUCUUCGUGUUAUUAUCUUAUGUUGUAUUCUUCAAGCGCUUGUGAACAAGAAAGCAAAUGACCUUAUAAAUGGGAUUAUGCACACAAGAGAGAUUACGGAUAAUGAUAUAUAGAUUUUGUUGAAGACGUUGAUGUUGAUUUUUUUUUCAAGAGUUAGGUAUUCCAUUAGAGUAGCUUUAUUAAUAAAUUUUGGAAUUGUAUGUAGUUUAUUUAUGAAAUUUAAUAUAGUUUGUUAUACAUUUAGCAAAGAAUUGUAAUUUGACCGGUUAUUCCAAAUUGAAUGUGUUUGGAAUUGACAAAAGACGAGGUUCAUUUGUUUAAGACAGGGUCUAGUUUGAACCACGUCUAA